GGUACUGUAGCAAACUUAAAUUCUACUUGUGCUGAUGUUGGGUUACUGUACUUUCAAUCUUCCAUGGCUAAUACCCCCCGAUACUAUUCAUAGUUUCAUCAAAAUAAGCAACCAACACAACAAAAACAGAAUAUGUUAACAACAGACUAGUAUGUAGCAAUCUGUAUAUUUCGUAUACCUCUGGUACUUCAGCAAUUCUGAAAAAUUAUGAAAGCCUGAAGAAUUUGCGUAGAAAUCAACAGCAAAAAGA
Molecule: long non-coding RNA, 250 nt
Filed under: Hordeum vulgare
Lineage: Eukaryota; Viridiplantae; Streptophyta; Magnoliopsida; Poales; Poaceae
Description: long non-coding RNA (HVUL_LNC006676)
Source: RNAcentral